RNAcentral lists this ribosomal RNA (1788 nucleotides) under Durio zibethinus. Its description in RNAcentral is "SSU rRNA". It matches the Rfam family "Eukaryotic small subunit ribosomal RNA". Lineage: Eukaryota; Viridiplantae; Streptophyta; Magnoliopsida; Malvales; Malvaceae. The record is from RNAcentral.
CCUUGCUGAUCCUACUAGUAGUCAUAUGCUUUCCUCGAAGAUUAAGCCAUGCAUGCGUAAGUAUGAACUAAUUUAGAUAGUGAAAUUGUGAAUGGCUCAUUAAAUCAAUUAUAGUUUGUUUAAUGGUAUCCAGUACUCGGAUAACUAUAGUAAUUCAAGAGCUAAUACAUGCAACAAACCCUGACUUCUGAAAAGGAUGUAUUUAUUAGAUAAAAGGUCGAGGUGAGCUUUGCCCAUUGCUCAAGGAUUCAAGAUAACUCAAUGGAUCGCACAGCCAUUCCAUUGGUGAUGCAUCAUUCAAAUUUCUACCCUAUCAACUUUUCUUGGUAGGAUGUGGCCUCCUAUGGUACUGACAGGUGAUCGAGAAUUAGGGUUUGAUUUUGGAGAGAAAGCUUGAGAAAUGGCUACCACAUCCAAGGAAGGCAGUAGGCAUGCAAAUUAUCCAAUCUUGACAUAGGGAGAUAGUGACAAUAAACAACAAUACCAGGCUGUAUAAGUUUGGUAAUUAGAAUGAGUACAAUCUAAAUCCCUUAAUGAGGAUCCAUUAGAAGGUAAGUUUAAUGCGAGUAGCUAUAGUAAUUCUAGCUCCAAUAGCAUAUAUUUAAGUUGUUGCAGUUAAAAAACUCAUAGUUAGAAUUAGGGUUGGGUCAUCUAGUUACCUCAUGAUAAGCACUGGUAUACUUAUCCCUACUAUCGAUGAGGCACUCUUGGCCUUAAAUAACUGAGUCAUUCCUUUGGCACUAUUAUUUUGAAGAAGUUAAAGUGCUCAAAGCAGGCCUAUGCUUGUAUACAUUAGCAUGGGAUAACAUCAUAGGAUUUCGGUCCUAUUGUGAUGGCUUUUAAGAUCAAAAUAAUGAUUAAUAGGGAUAGUUGGGAGCACUCAUAUUUCAUAGUCAGAGGUGAAAUUCUUAGAUUUAUGAAAGAUAAACACUACAAAAGCAUUUGCCAAGGAUGUUUUCACUAAUCAAGAACAAAAGUUAAGGGCUCGAAGAUGAUCAGAUACCAUCCUAGUCUCAACCAUAAACGAUGUACACCAAGGAUUGACGAAUGUUACUUUUAAGACUCUGCCAGCACUUUAUGAGAAAUCGAAGUCUUUGGGUUUCAAAGGGAGUAUGGUCACAAGUUUGAAACUUAAAGGAAUUGAUGGAAAGGCACCACCAAGAGUGGAGCUUAUGACUUAAUUUGACUCAACAUGGCGAAACUUACUAGGUCCAAACAUAGAAGGAUUGAUAGACUAAAAGCUCUUUCUUGAUUCUAUGGGUGGUGGUGCACGGCCAUUCUUAGUAGGUGGAGUGAUUUGUCUGGUUAAUUUUGUUAAUGAACGAGACCACAACAUGCUAACUAGCUAUAUAGAGAUGAUCCUUCAUGGCUAGCUUCUUAGAGGGACUAUGGUCGUAUAGGCCAACAAAGUUUGAGGCAAUAAUAGGUUUGUGAUGCCUUUAGAUAUUCUAGGCCGCACACUUACUACACUAAUGUAUUCUAUGAGUCUAUAGCCUUAGUCGAUAGGCCCAAGUAAUCUUUGAAAUUUCAUCGUGAUGGGGAUAGAUCGUUGCAAUUGUUGGUCUUCAAUGAGAAAUUACUAGUAAGUGUGAGUCAUUAGCUCGCGUUGACCACAUCCUUGUCCUUUAUACACACCACUCGUCACUCCUACUAAUUGAAUGGUCUGGUUAAAUGUUCAAAUUAUGGCAUCGUGGAUAGUUCACUGGCCAUGAUGUCACAAGAAGUCCACUAAACCUUAUCAUUUAGAGAAAGGAAAAGUCAUGGUUUUCAUAGGUGAACCUACAAAAG